Molecule: ribosomal RNA, 504 nt
Filed under: uncultured bacterium
Lineage: Bacteria
Description: bacterial SSU rRNA
Rfam family: Bacterial small subunit ribosomal RNA
Source: RNAcentral
UGAAUAAAGUCUGGGAAACUGCCUGAUGGAGGGGGAUAACUACUGGAAACGGUAGCUAAUACCGCAUAACGUCGCAAGACCAAAGAGGGGGACCUUCGGGCCUCUUGCCAUCAGAUGUGCCCAGAUGGGAUUAGCUAGUAGGUGGGGUAAUGGCUCACCUAGGCGACGAUCCCUAGCUGGUCUGAGAGGAUGACCAGCCACACUGGAACUGAGACACGGUCCAGACUCCUACGGGAGGCAGCAGUGGGGAAUAUUGCACAAUGGGCGCAAGCCUGAUGCAGCCAUGCCGCGUGUGUGAAGAAGGCCUUCGGGUUGUAAAGCACUUUCAGCGAGGAGGAAGGUGGUGAGCUUAAUACGCUCAUCAAUUGACGUUACUCGCAGAAGAAGCACCGGCUAACUCCGUGCCAGCAGCCGCGGUAAUACGGAGGGUGCAAGCGUUAAUCGGAAUUACUGGGCGUAAAGCGCACGCAGGCGGUUUGUUAAGUCAGAUGUGAAAUCCCCGGG